This 801-nucleotide ribosomal RNA is filed under the name Triticum aestivum (bread wheat). RNAcentral's name for it is "partial small subunit ribosomal RNA". Lineage: Eukaryota; Viridiplantae; Streptophyta; Magnoliopsida; Poales; Poaceae. The record is from RNAcentral.
AUGGAUGUUGAUCUCACCAUGGAUGUGGUGGCCCUUACCACUGCAUAUCAGAUGUGGGAGCACCUUCGCCAUCGCUAUGAGUCUACAGGGGAUGCCAUGUAUCUCUCUGUUGUUCGUCAAGAGCAACAACUACAACAGGGAGAUGCUACUGUGGAUGAUUUCUACAAGGAGAUGUCGGCGGUGUGCCGCCAAUUGGACUCUCUGGGAGCUGAUGUUUGUCGCAGAUGUCAGUGUUGUGUGCAGCAACAAGCUAAGCUGGAGGUUCGUCGCCUCUACGACUUCCUCACUCGCCUCCGGCCGGAGUUCGAGCAGAGUCGUGCUCAGCUAUUGGCACGCCAUCCUCGGCUCUCUACUCUGGAGGCCCUUGCUGAGGUGCGAUCUGAGGAGGUGCGCCUACAGAGCACGGGCUUAUUGCCAUCCUCUUCAGCAGUCCUGGCUGCCCGCGUUCCACCACCGCUGCCUGGUGUGCCCUCUUCUACACAGGUGGCAGCAACCUCCACUAGUGCUUUCUGCAACUACUGCAAGCAGGAUGGUCACAUGAUCACGGAGUGCACCAAGAGGAGGAAACAGGGUCGCCGUGGUGGCCGUCCUCAAAAGGACUCGGGAGGCUCCUCUAAUUCUCGUGAGGGCUCCCUUGAGAAGGUUCACCAGGAGAUGCUCACCUUGCUGCGCCGCCUUACUGCUUCUGCACCAUCCUCAGGUUCUGCUGGUUCUGCUGGUCAGACGUCUGGUCCACUACCGCACUCUUCGUCAGGAUCGUCGUACGGGGACUCUGGUUGGGAUCGGUCCUCGGCGCCAUGA